Molecule: transfer-messenger RNA, 360 nt
Filed under: Campylobacter coli
Lineage: Bacteria; Pseudomonadati; Campylobacterota; Epsilonproteobacteria; Campylobacterales; Campylobacteraceae
Also listed under: 1 other name
Rfam family: transfer-messenger RNA
About the family: Bacterial tmRNA, also known as 10Sa RNA or SsrA, is named for its dual tRNA and mRNA-like properties. Its role is to liberate the mRNA from a stalled ribosome.
Source: RNAcentral
GGGAGCGACUUGGCUUCGACAGGAGUAAGUCUGCUUAGAUGGCAUGUCGCUUUGGACAAAGCGUAAAAAGUCCAAAUUAAAAUUAAACGCAAAUAACGUUAAAUUUGCUCCUGCUUACGCUAAAGCUGCGUAAGUUCAGUUGAGCCCGAAAUUUAAGUCAUACUAUCUAGCUUAAUUUUCGGUCAUUUUUGAUAGUGUAGCCUUGCGUUUGACAAGCGUUGAGGUGAAAUAAAGUCUUAGCCUUGCUUUUGAGUUUUGGAAGAUGAGCGAAGUAGGGUGAAGUAGUCAUCUUUGCUAAACAUGUAGAAGUCUUUGUGGGGUUAUUUUUGGACAGGGGUUCGAUUCCCCUCGCUUCCACCA